RNAcentral lists this unclassified non-coding RNA (444 nucleotides) under Leucochloron incuriale. Its description in RNAcentral is "partial external transcribed spacer". Lineage: Eukaryota; Viridiplantae; Streptophyta; Magnoliopsida; Fabales; Fabaceae. The record is from RNAcentral.
GGGCUUGUGAGUGGUGUUUGGAUUGUCUCUGCCGGUUGGCUCCGUGCUCGUCCACCGAACGGUCGGCAGGCAAUCCGCGUCGGUUGCUGUGAGGUGGGAUGGCGCCUUUGAGGCUGGUUCUUGUGUUGCCUACCCCUUUCAAAGGGAAGCAGGCCACUUGCACUCAGCCUCCAUCCGGCGCCCUUCUAAUGGGGGCGCAGGAGGACAACGAAGCACCCCCGUGUUCCACCGAGCCUUCAUCGGACGCGUGGCCCACGGGGAAGUGCAAAGCUCUUGGACCCAGCGUAUGUAUGCCGCGGACGAGGACUCAUGUCCCGGUCCCGAGGGGAACUUCGAUAAAAGAUAUAAUGUGUGACGGCCGCUCCCGCCCCUCGAGGGGGGCGACGGGCGGCCUAGUUGAGGAUUGCUACCUGGUUGAUCCUGCCAGUAGUCAUAUGCUUGUCU